Long non-coding RNA from Macrobrachium nipponense, 983 nucleotides. RefSeq lists it as uncharacterized. The transcript has 4 exons. The record is from RefSeq and is a predicted model, not a curated record. NCBI's taxonomy places the organism in Eukaryota, Metazoa, Arthropoda, Malacostraca, Decapoda, Palaemonidae.
GGUGAUAUGAAAAAGACUUUGUGGUCACCAAGAAGUUUUUGCAAGAAAUGCUUCCAAGAGUCAUCGUUGUUGCUUUUCUGAGGACUGUACUGAGGAAAUUUGUCAACUAAUGAGAUGGCGCGUUUAUAAAGUUCCACUGAAGCUAUUGCAUUCCAAUACGUCAUAUUCUGCUUCCUGGGUUAUGCAGGAGGAAACUGGAAGGAGAGAUCCGGCUAUAAUAAAGACCAAUCUUGAGGAGCUCAUGUGUCUUACCGUUUCUUGGACAAAGUAGAUGUAUGUGCCGAGGGAGUAUUCUGCUUCCGUCAACAACACACGAUUCCCCCAGCUGUGGAGUGUUUGAUAUAUUGCUGCAGAUCUCUGUGUAAGGCUUUCCAAACAUUCGCUUUGAAUGGUCGCUGAAGAUUGCAGCGACCAAGCCUUGGCAGCGACUGCGGCAAAAUGUGUUAAAAGGUACAGGGAAUGAACGGAAUUGACUACUGCUUUAGUUUCCUCCGUUAAGUAUUCACUUACCAACAUUGGGUUAUAACUCGAGUCUGUACAUUGCAAACCUACUGCUCAGUUUCUCCAACAGGAUAUAAUCGGACAGUAAUGGAAUACAAGGGAUACCUUAGAAAAUUUUUUGCCACGAGUAAUCUCCAUAUUUCAGUCAUCAUCAUCUCGACCGAGAGCCAAACACUCUUGGAAGAUUGCAUUAUCAAGUUCCCGUCGUUGGACAAACAUCGGCGCAUGAGAGGAUAACAACAUUAAAGAACGGGAGUGUAACAAUUUCCCGGACAGUCGAAAAAGCUGGACCUGCUCGGUUUAUAUAAUAGACAUCGGUUUAUAUAAUUAGGGAAAGUGGCAACCAAGAUACAUUGAAGUUUCCAACGUGCAUGUAGACAGUGAUCCACAGUUCAACAAAGCCCGUAGAUGCGGCUUCUCGGGUAAGCAGUUUCUGCCCCAUUCGGCUUCCAUUUUUAUAAAUAAAUGCUUGUUUAAUUUUA